This 11185-nucleotide long non-coding RNA is filed under the name Xyrichtys novacula (pearly razorfish). The record is from RNAcentral. Lineage: Eukaryota; Metazoa; Chordata; Actinopteri; Labriformes; Labridae.
GGAUCAGCUCCUUCCUUUAGCCACAGCUCUUUCUUUGUUUGGACCUUAACAUGAUUUUAUUGUAAGUACACUUUUAUUUGCCUUUUGGUUCCCUUGUGUUGCUUCCCCUGAGCCAGGGUUGUAACACUUACACAAAUUCUAAUUUUUGCAAUUUAUAGUUAAAAUAAAAUCUGAGUUCUAACUAGUAAAGUUUGUAAAAGUAGCACCAAAAACAAAAGUCAUGCUUGCGAGUUCAUAGACGCCACACAAGAUUACUUGGCAGCUGCUGAGAUUCCAAAACUACCAACUGAGCAUGUGCAGAACUGUGAUUCCUCACUACAAUCUUAAAUAUUGAACUCUGAAAGUGUGUUGACUUUUUACUGUUGAAGUUUGAGUAAAAAACACACAAUUAAGAACAAAGUAGCUGGGUGAGGUCACCUUUCAAAUGAAAUCCAGGUCCUCUGUGUCUGCAGCCAGGUACUCCUGAAAUAUUAACCGUGUGUUCGUUAAAUUUCAAUAAUAACACAUGGCUGGAAAAUCCAAGUCUCCUGAAACAGUAUUAAAAGGUUUUCAGCUGAAUCUGGUUGCCACUGUGAGAAACAACCAAACAGACCACAAUGAAGACACUGAUGGCGGACGUAAAGUGCAGUAAUAACUACAAAAAUCUACUUAUCUACUAACUCCAUCGAUAUUUAACAAGAAAAUCAUGUCUCCCCUCUGCUGUUCUCACAUAUUGUAGUCAAGUAAGAGCGAUCAAGGCCACUCUGACAGUGAGUUUCACUAACUUAUCAUCUCCCAUUGUUGAGUGGAUGCGGCAAAAAUGUGUUUGAAAUUGAUAAAACAAUAAUUGAAGUCGUAAAAAUAUGUUAUAAAGAGUCAGAAACUAGUGCACAGAGAACAAUCACGAAUUCUUCAACACUGUCUGGAGUGCACAGUAAAAACAAAGGUGGUAUUGGAGGGUUAUUGCUAUUACGAUGGGUUGCAUCAUGGCGUAUUGAUUUUUGACUCCUGACGCUCCAUACUUAAACCAAGAAGAGAACAAUACCAGCAGGUUUUCCUCUGAAGUGCAUCUGAAGAAAUGUUGAACAUUUUUAGAUUCACUCAUCAAAAUGAAAUAAAUGGACACACCUUUCAUUACCAGCCUAAUCUGGACAGUAGGAUUCACUGCAGGACUAUUAUAUGAGACUGCAUUACAAUCUGGACGCGGUAAUGACCGUCACUUGAUAGUCCAUUGAAUUUUCUUAGUGGAAAUCCAAUUUCAAAUUUCCUCCCUCUUAAUAGGGCCAUUUUCUUUUCUGCUUCCUAUCCCUGGAUGAUCAAUACACCCGCGUUUAUCACCCAAUAUGGAAAUGCUUUCUGCAAAGAAAUGUUGUUUUCAUGUAAGCUUUCCUUAAUUGUUCUUGAAAAGCAUGCACUGAAACGUCCCCGCCCUUUGGGAAAAUAUCGCCUCCCUAAACAGAAGUGACACUCCGGCAUAUGCUGAGGUCUUCACUGCGGUGCAAGCUCCUCAUUAAGUUAGCUGGCAUGGAGCUCAGAGAAAUAAUCUUUGCUUAUAGCACAAACGCCGCCCCGGAAUGACUCCUACAAGCGCGAGAGUGCGGGAUGCAAAUUUGCAUUUCGCUUACAACUUUGAAAAAUAUUUGGAGUACAGCAUGAGUCAUGACUGAUACGCUUUUGGGUCCACUGUAAGCAAAAAAAAAAAAGGAGGGAAAAGGCAGAGAAGAAAGAGAAGGAACAUGCCAGAUGUGCACGAAGCACUGGGACCCAUUUUAGAUUGGAUUCUUCUUUUUUUCUUUUCCAGCCAGUCACAUUUACUUUGUGCCUUUGUGCCUUAAGUCUAAUUGAAGCUCAAAAAGGAGAGGGAGAGAUUGAAUUGCAGAUUGAAUUGCAUCCCAAGGUCAUUGGAGGGAUACACAACCGCAGUAGGAGUGCCGCCUAUGGGCCCUGAAGGUUCUUACUCGCCUCUCCGAAGCAAUUAUAAAUCCACUGAUGUAGUUUUGAUUAUUUCCUGCAGUGUUUGGCUGUUUUAUUGACCAUGUGUUAUUAGACGCUGAGCUGGCAUAACAUUUGUCUGAGGUGAAUAGUCACACUGUGACUUUCUGUGAGGGAUUCUGUUUCAAAUAUCCACCCACUAUCCAUGUAUCGUCCUACCAUGACGGGGUUAAAACCAGUGUUGUUCAAGAUCACUCUAGAGGGCACCGACUCAUAGUUCAGUUCACAUGGAUUAAAGGAUCUAUACCCAUUUUUUGGGUCAUAUGGAUUCGAUUGUUUGUUUUUUUUUUCAAGGGAUUAUAAUUAUGGGUUAUUUUUCUGAGAGUAACCCAAUAAUUGGGUCAGAACGUUGGGUCAGGCAUGUCCAAACUAUUCCACAAAGGGCCGGUGUGGCUGCAGGUUUUUCUUCCAACCAAUCAAGAGCACACGGUCUGACCAAUCAGCUGUCUGAAGACUGAGAUCAGCUGAUGAAAUGAAUCAAGUCUGGUGUGCUGCUGCUUGGUUGGAAGAAAAACCUGCAGCCACACACCGGCCCUUUGUGGAAUAGUUUGGACAUGCCUGCAAGUCUACGUCAAUCGUUGGGACGUUUGGAACGGGGGGUUGGGGUUUGAAUUCCGUAUGAGACACAUCUGUAAGGAGCGAGCUACAUCUACCAGUGUGGGUCCUUAGGCAAGACCCUUAGCGCUAUGGCCAACGUCAUAAACAUGAGUGUGUUACCACUGAAAGGCAAACCAGCUCAGAUGUCACCGGGGUUAACAAGGUAACAAGGUCUGCAAAGCAAAGCAAAGCUCCCAAAAAAGCUCCCUAAAUGCAUAAAUCAAUUUCACCCAACAUCAUGAGUCAAAUUAGCUCAAAGAUUGGGUUAACUUGACCCUUGAAAAGAGUUACUGAGUCAACCCAAAGUUUGGGUUAAUUUGAAUAACCCAACAUUCUGGGUCAAAAUACCCCAAUAAGUAGUCAGUCCCUUUUCAACCCUGAUGUUGGCAUUUUUAGAGUGCAGGACUUCAUCCAGCUGAUUCCCCUUCCCCUUGGAGCUCCUCAAAAACAACGCCCCCGCUCACAUGCACGAACGCUGCCAUCUGCAUCAGAACAUAAAGAUCAUUUUUACCAGAAUAACAAAAAGUGUAUCUAAAUCAGAUUACCAACCCUAACUUUUAAAGUGAACUAGAGCUGAUUCUCAUUUGUGUUUUCUGAGGAAUGGUGAUCCACAUGCUUGAGCUACGAGGGGCUGCAAAGACCCAGCUGCAGGCCCUCAUUAGCCGGAGCCAUCUUUAGCAGGUCUUGGCUGUCAUGGCUAUCUCCCUCACGGCUGUCUUCAGACCUUUGGGGUCUAAGCUGACCUGCGAAGAGGAAUAGCUCAUUGAUUUGCGGGAAAACCACAGCAGCCGACUUAGACUGGGGGGCAGGUUGCACGCCAUCCUUUGAGAAGCGGCUCAUCCAUCAGGUCCGGAUUCCUGGCUUUCUUUAGCUGGUGAGAAACGACCAGCUGAUCCUUCCUGGGCGCUGCUGGUUUAACUAAGAUGGUUUAGUGCUCCUGGAGAGAAGAAUGAAAGUCAAUGAUUCCUUUCCACAGAUUGAAUUUUGGUUUAACUAAUCAGAAUCGAGUAGUUGAAGUCGUUGAACUCCUAAACCAUCAAACAAUCUCAGCGUUUUAUUUUAAACCAAUCUUGCUUUAAGCAUCCGUGCUUUUGUUCCAACAAACCAAACGUUUAUUCACGACACUAUGAUUAAGUCCUGCUUAAAAAGGACUGAAAAACAAACACAAUAAGUGUUUACAGCAGCUGGAGUGUCUGUAAAUUCCAUAUAAAUGCAUAUAUGACGGACUCGUCAUUCCCUCCUCUGAUUGACAGUUUGCAGUCUCUCCAACAUGGCGACGUUUCUUUGCAUUCCGGUUGUAAACUAAGGGGGCGGAGAUGGAGCGAUAUCUUUUCAAGUGGCUCUUGAAAAGCAAAGAAAUAUCCCCUUGAGGAUGCCAGUUGUAAACAAAUGAACAGUUUGAAUGCGCAUUUGCAUUGUCAGGAUUUGCAACUGCAAAAAAAGACACUUGUUUGAGAUGUUUUUUCACAACUGGACUGCAGAUUAUUCCCAUGGACAAACACAAUCAUUCAGCAAUCAUGUCGCUCUAUUCUGCAGGUUUUAUACGCUUUCAAAAAUGUUCGAAGGCCAGUAAUGAAGUGACACUGUAUUUAUGCAAAACUUUAAAAAACAGCCGGUUAAAAAGAGCUUUAAAAAACCAAGCUCGCACUGUGGAUGAUGGUGACUCAUACGAACGAAAAUUAACACAGUUUUUGUUCUCUCAAUUAAACGAUCAGACCUUCUGAGUGACCUGUUUUUGUAUUUCGUCAGUCUUUUUCUGGCUGGUUUUUUGCAGAGGGCCACUUUCAAUCUGCCAGACUCUUUUCUGUCCUAACAAUGUGAGGCAAAUUAGGCCUUCAUUAAAAAAAUUACCAGCGUUGUCACACUCAGCAAAAACAGAAGUACAGGUGUCCAAGGCCUGCUCUCGAUCAUGUUUUUGUGCGGCAUGAACACUGAUUUGUUUGAUUUGCAACCCUGAACAUUGCACCCGUUUAAUUUUGCACCACUUGUGUUUGUAGUUGAUAGGAUGAGGCGGCUGCAGCUCUCACCGACUCAGACAUCUAGUAAUUAUAGCUGCGCUGCUUUGAGGAAGAAGAUGCAUUUCAGAUGUGAGUUUGGGAAACAUUUAUGGCAGCUUUGAUUUAUUUAUGGAGCUGGAAUCAAACAAAUUACAUCUUCAAGUUAUGAAGGCGGACAACAGACACUGACAGAUUUGGGGUUCAGAGCAAACAAGCUUCGUCUUUAGACUCCAGAUGAGCUAAAUCAGUCAGGAUCCUCCACCUCCCUCUUUAAGGCUUCUUUUAAUUAUUCCUUAACAGCUUGUCAAGGUCUCCCAAAGCAGAGUCCAGCUCCUCCGUGACAGAAAACCGCUGUCCAGAAUUCAGUGAAAAUCUAUAAUGUGGCCCGCGCUCUCACCUUUCAACCUCGUAAUCGUCUGAGAAAUAAGUACUACACCCAUAAGAAUGAAGGGGUCAUUUGUUCCUGACCUGUAAUACAACUCACAGGAACACUCUGUGAAAUAGCUGCACAACUUCCACUGACAACCAUGUCCUCAUACAGGAGCCUUUGUACCUGGUGAAAGGUGGAUUAUAUCAGAAACGGCAGUGACUGCUGGUUUAAUGUUUGAAAUUUGCCUUUUAUUUAAAACUAUAACGAACAAUAAUACCUCUGUGUCAAAGCUCUGCAUUUGUUCGAGAACAUAUUCAGUGAGAUAUUUCACAGUUUUGAUCGACUCCAGAUCAUCAAAGCUGAAUGUGAAUAAUUAUCCAGCAGCUGUCGUUACAGAGCAGUUCAGCCCUUUUCUUUAUGAACACAAACACGGCGUUUGUGGUUUUUCGGCUUUUAUUUGACGUCCAAGAAAACAGAUAAAGCAAAAGUGUCCAGUGGAAGACUUUUAUGUCUUGAUUUCAUUCCUCUUUUUUUCUGUCUUUAAUGCACUUUUCUUACCCUCUAGAGGUCAGUACAGCCACAUUGCAUGGUCGGUGAAGAGCGUUAAACAAUACUUUACAAAAUGAAACUAUCAGUUGAACUUUGACACCAUCUAUUAACUUACUGAUUGAAUUGAAAAAAGAAAAUGUUGAGACUAAAAAGGAGAAACUCAAAUUUGAUGACUUUUUAAAGACUAAAGUCUUGUGCGUUGUUACCUUUUGUUAUCCUAAUGUUUCAUGUCCUGUGUUUUCUGUUUUACUUUAAUACUCACCUCUGUGUCUUGUUUCAGAUCCUCCACUUCCUGUCCGCCUGUGUUCUGGGAUUACCCGCCCCUCCUUGCUGUGUUGCUCCUGCAGAUGAUUGUCUCCACUCGCCUCUGUGUCCCCUUUCUUCUGCACCUGUUUGCCUCUGUCCAGCAUGAGUUUCAUUCCAGAGUUAGUAUUCCUCGUACGACCAUUUUCUUCAGGUUUGGACCUGCUUCUGCUUUUUACUGUUGUCAAGAGUCCUGCAUUUCUAUCCUCUGUUUAUGCCAAGUGGGACGGAAUAAAAAAUAAACUCACAUUGUGAAGGGUAAAAAAAAAAAAAAAAAGACUCAAACAUGACUGAAAUUGUUUUGUUGCAUCUAAAACUUCCAUUCAUUGUGUUUUGCAUACUCGCAGCAGGGUAUUCUGUGAGUCCUUGCAGCAUGGAAAUGGCCUCUGGAAAUUCUGAAGUCUCUCAUCAUGACAAAAUAAUGGAUUAAAAUCAAUCUGUGGUACACUAUGAGGUAAACACACACUGUUCUGUGUUGAUUUUAUUGAAUUAUCUUUGAGACUAUUACUAAGAUGGCCAAAGUUGGCGUCUCUCAGCCCAGCAAUGUCAGACUAAAUCCUGUUUUUCUUACUGGUAAAAUUUUUGCACCAUGUAAACGUCACAGUGUCAUAGUGUCAUGAUGAUAUAGCUUGAGUUUGCCACCCAAUUUGGGAUGUACCAAUCCAUUUUUUCACAAAUAAUUCGAUCUCAAUUCCUGAAUUUGGAUAUCUGCUGAUAAUGACACUAUUCCGAUACCAGAGCUCUGUUAUCUUUACCAUCAUUAUUAUCAUUAUUGUUUAUUUUAUUUGAGACUGUAAUAAACUCCUCUCUACAGACUAGUAUAUGUACGUAUGAUUUCCUGAACCGAGUCAUGUCUCAUCUCUGUGUCUCAUUGAGACAAGCCUCCCUUCAGGAAAUCCAUUCUGCAGUUUGCAGCCAGCUAGCAGACUGACCGACAUUUCAGCAGACAAAGUUAAAGCAAAUACAUAACUUAGCAAAGACAUGACUUGUGGAUUGGAAAUUUCCAGUCCAUGAAUUACGUUGGUAUCAGAACCCAAUACCAAUGCUGGAUCGGACCAGCUCCAUCCCUUCACCCAACUAUACAUUAAAAUAGGCGGUCCUGUGGUGUCUAUGUUCUAUGUUCUAUACAAUGCCCCUAUCUAUCAAAGUCAUGCAAUCAUGGUCAUACUACAAUAUGCAUCAUUCUGCAGUAAUUAAUAAAAGUUGAUGUCGAGGUCACUCUUAUUUUGUUGGUGUUGGUUUCCGUUCUUCUUUCGCAAACACACUUGUUCGGGCCUCUUAUCCACAUGCAACUUUGAGUUUUGAAAGUCUCCAAACUGUAAACAAUGUGCACUCAGAGUUUUCUUUGCCUUAUUUGACAUAAUCAAAGUGAAAUGUAGUCACAGCAUGACGCCUGCUCUCAAAGUUGUUGAAUAAAGUUGGGCGCCCUGAGAAGAAAUGUCGUAGGUGUUGAGGAAAUCUGAGGAUGUGUUUUAUACAAAAUAAUCAGCCCAUCCUUGUAAGGUGAUUUCAGCAAGGUUGAGUGUUAGACUGAGCGAUAUAUAGCAUGGCACAAACUCCCCAAGAUAACUAAUGAGCAAUCACAGCAGCGCCUCUCAUCCCCUUUAAAAGCAGCAGACAGUUGCUAAUGAGCUGGUGGGGGGGGGAGAAGCUGCUACUGUGGGGGAAACGGUGUCUGAGAGGUACAAGAACACAGCACCCUAAAUGCUAAUAAACAGCACCCCAAAUACAAAUGGAUAAUGCUUGCAGUGGCCAAUAAUACCAAUUCUGAUGCUGAAUUCACUUCCAAAAAAUCCAGGUGCAAACAGUUUCAGCUGCCCUGGUAAGAAUCAGUGACACUUUAUCAUUAAUUUGAAUGAUAGACUCCACGUGCAGCGUGCACACCACCCUGUUUAGUUUCUUCCUUCACUCUAGAAACCAUGAUUGUAGCUCAUGCUGCAGAAUAAUAGCUAAUGCAUUAGAGAGCUGCAGAUUUAGGAGUCAGAGCAGCACACGGUGGCAUAAAACAGGACAGUAAGCGGUACACUGCAAAAACAGCACUACUAGAAAUAGGCAAAACAUUCUUAUAUUCAAUCAAAUAAUAAUAAUAAUAAUAAAUUUUAUUUAAAAGCGCCUUUCUGGACACCCAAGGACACUGUACAGGGCAUAAUCUUUUUCUAGCUUGACAAGAAUUCUCAAUAAGAACAAAUUUCUUGGCCCUGAGACUCAAAUGAAACUUAAAACUAGACAGAAAAUCUUAUAUUAAUCUAUUUUUUUCUACAGCAAGCAAUGAAAAAUGAAGAUAAAGUUACUUAAAACUAGAAUUUUAGUCUCUUGAAUAAAUAAACUUCAAGAAAAUACAUCUUAAUCUAGGAUUCUGAAUGAGCAUGACAGUGGUUCAAAUAAGACAUAAUUUCUUAAAACAGCAUAGCAAAUAUAAGUGAUGUUGUCUUAAAUUAAGAUACCAAAACAUUCUCAUUAACUAUAUAUUUUUUAUUCCACAAGCAAGCAUGUGGAAAGCAAGCAUGUUCUUUGUUGUUCUUUGUUGUUUUGCAGUAUUCAUCUGGUCAUUGUGUAAUUAGACUAGCCUACUGACAUCUUUAUAUGUCGGAUUAUGUCUGAGGCAGCAGAUUCUGUCAGGUUCAGAUGACCUGCAAUGGAAAUCUUAAUAAAACUAAAAUCAACUGUUCUUGUUUCAUGGCAUUCUUAAAUGGAAAAGUUGCACAUGUGUCUUACUUUUAAAAUGAAAGGAAUGAUCUUGUUGCUUUGCUGGAUUUUAUUGUAAAAGAUUUUUCUACUUUAUUUCUGGUUCAUUCUAUCUCAAAAAGGGCUGGAAUAUCUUAUCAAGAAAAAGUUAGCCAUUUUUUCUUAAAGUUAGAUAAUUCUUCUAAUGCUGAACAUGCUUGACAAGAUUAAUAUUCUUUUUGUACAAAAAAAAAUGACUUAUUUCCUUCAUACAAGGCUGUUUUCCCUUCUUGAAAUUCCAUUUUUUGCCGUGAACCUCUACUUCUUUAUUCACAUUACUGAGAUUUUGCAACAAUAACAGUUUCUAGCCGGAGCUGUCAAGGCGCAGUGUGGAAAAAUUUGCAGAAUUUGGGAGAAUAGACUUUGCAAAGAUGGAAUAAAUUAAAAGUUUGUCUGAAGUAGUACUUUUAUAAUCCAAAGGAGCAGGGCCCCAUCCACAGAUUCAUGUUUCUACAGGAGCUUUGAGCUGUCAAACUAGUGAUGUUUGCAUUUGUAUUAAGUGAUUGGACACCCAGAAUGCAUCAGAGAGUGGUUGCUGCAUGCACAGAUAUAUAGAAAAGACUAGAUACUCCAGUGAGCUGUAGCAGCCCGCUAAACGACAUAUCUACGUAGCAGCCAUCUUGGUGAGGGCAACUUUCCCAUUAAAGGUGAAAAUAAUUCAUAACUCGCUAAUUUCUCAACUGAUUUUCCAAGCAGUUUACUUUAUUUUCAAAUUUUGUGCUAUUAAUACAGAACAUUUGAUUAAACAGUUUUUUUAAAUCACAUGUUCCAUUUAAAUCAUUCGUUUUGGUGUUGGAAAUGAAGUAAACCGCACGAAAAUCAGUUGAGAAAUGAGCAAUUUAUGGUUUAUUUUCAAUGUACAUGCUUCUCCGUUAAUGGGAAAGAUGCCCCCGCUAGCUUAGCCUUGCUGAAGAGGCAUGUCGUAUCUAUGUUUUCAUAUCUAUGGUUGCAUGCACAAAAAUUGCACAUUCUCGGAUCAUAAUUGUUGUGUUUACAGGAGUCUUCAAGGUCAACCAUUGCUUAAAAGGGUGAGUAAGGGGGUAUCAUGAUAAUGACUCAAACCGCUUUAAAUCACUAACUAGCCCCAUUGCUACAAACUGUUCCUUUUAAGCUUAUAUUCACAAUGAACAUCAGUUACUCGUGGCUGUUUGUACUAUCGUAUUUCUCACUGAAUCAUUCAUUCGUAUUUGUGUGCCUUUUCAAAGCUCUCUGCAUGGAGCCAGGGAUGUGAAAAUACUGCAACAACACUUUGUUUUUGGCCCAAAAUAUGAGAUAAUGAGUUUUGAAAAUUUCCCUCUCAGAACCCUUGAGUCUUAACAAGCUCACCAUGAAUUUAUGUCACCGAGAUUUAUGGGACGGCUUCAAAAGGCGAGGGAAGGGGAGUUGAUUUAUUCAGCACAUUUCAACACAAAAGCAGCUAACCGAGCUUUACAUGAGACAAAAAAAAAAAAAGAUAUUAAAUAAAAGUACUUCAUAAAACAUUAAAAAGACAAAUUUAAGAGAAAGUUGGAACAUGAAAGCUCUGCAGAAUGUCUACGGAUGAAAUAUGAGCAGUGUGAGUUUGCAUACCCCUGUGACUGACCCUAUCUGCUGUCUCCUCAUCGGCGCUGUAACUGUGAUGGCUCCCACUGAGCAUUUUGGGAGAGAGAGGAAAAGUCUGAGUUCAUAUCCAGCAGCUGUCGGGCUGAAAUGAGCCACAUUUUCCAGCGCGGACCCGAGCAGUUCUGGGGUCAGUGGAGAUUCGGGGCUCGGCCUGGAAAUCUUUAAAUGAGUCUGGGGCCACGCUUUGAUCGAUGAAUAUCACAAUAUGAAUAAGAGCUAUAUUUGGGGAGGGGGGUGAGUCAGGCAGUCAGAAAGCUGGACAAAUACAGCACCACUGGGGCUGGAGACUUCAAUUCAGCAAUUCAGUCGCCACAUUUUUCACAGAAAAGAGGUCAACUGGUGCAUAUUGCCUCUCUGGAAGGAGCAAUAGGCAAUCAUAUGGUUGUAUAGGAAAACAUUAUGAGCCUACAUUCCCACAGAUUACUGCUGUAACAACAAUUUAAAGGUUGGAUGCAGCCAAAUUAUUUUGUGUUAUUUCAUGAAAAAACAAAAAAAAUCCCCAAUAUCAUCUAGAAUUUUAUUAUCUAGUAUUUGUUUUGACAAACAAAGUAAAAAGGAAAGACCGGCCGAGUCGUAGCGGAGCUCUCAUUGGUGUGGCGCAGUCCGAUGUGUUAAAGCCUGAUGUCUAAAAUCCUCACAAAGUUCUUCUAAAAUCCUCACAAACUUCUACAGGUGCACCAUUGAAAGCCUGCUGAUGGGCUGCAUCACAGCAUGGUAUAGGAACUGCUCCAGUCAGAACCAGAAAGCACUGCAGAGGGUAGUGCAUACGGCUGAGUUCAUCACAGGGACCCGGAUCCCCACCAUACAGGACAUUUACCUCAGCCGAUGCCUGCGUAAAGCCCGCAGCAUUAUCAAGGACAAAACCCACCCAGCACAAAGACUCUUCUGUCCACGACCGUCCGGCAGAAGGUACAGGAGUCUGAAGAACAGUUACUACCCACAUGCAGUUCGCUUACUAUACUCCUGACAGUACCAUCAGUAAAUACUCUGUGCAAUAACCUACUUAACUUUGCAAUAUCAUCUGUGCAAUACCAGCAAUACAGCAAUUUGUACACCAUUAUUUAUUAUGUGC